RNAcentral lists this ribosomal RNA (230 nucleotides) under uncultured bacterium. RNAcentral describes it as "partial 16S ribosomal RNA". It matches the Rfam family "Bacterial small subunit ribosomal RNA", at positions 100 to 334 of the family's 1533-position model. The record is from RNAcentral.
GGACGGGUGAGUAAUGUCUGGGAAACUGCCUGAUGAGGGGGAUAACUACUGGAAACGGUAGCUAAUACCGCAUAACGUCGCAAGACCAAAGAGGGGGACCUUCGGGCCUCUUGCCAUCGGAUGUGCCCAGAUGGGAUUAGCUAGUAGGUGGGGUAAAGGCUCACCUAGGCGACGAUCCCUAGCUGGUCUGAGAGGAUGACCAGCCACACUGGAACUGAGACACGGUCCAG